Molecule: non-coding RNA, 171 nt
Organism: Plectropomus leopardus (leopard coralgrouper)
Lineage: Eukaryota; Metazoa; Chordata; Actinopteri; Perciformes; Serranidae
Source: RefSeq, a predicted model, not a curated record
CUGGAAGAUGAGUUUGUGAGAAAGAUGAGAGAAGUCAGACUUGCAGCCAGCAGCAUGGGGAUCCCCCAAGUGGCUAUUGUCACCAAAAUUGAUGAAGCCUGUCCAGAGGUCAGAAAAGAUAUAAAGAACGUGUAUAAGAGCAAGUUCCUGAAGAAAAGGAUGGAGGAAUUG